AAACCUCUUUCAGUACGGGACGAAGCGCAAGUAACGGUAGGUACAGAAGAAGCACCGGCCAACUACGUGCCAGCAGCCGCGGUAAUACGUAGGGUGCGAGCGUUGUCCGGAAUUACUGGGCGUAAAGAGCUCGUAGGCGGUUUGUCGCGUCGUCUGUGAAAACCCGCAGCUCAACUGCGGGCUUGCAGGCGAUACGGGCAGACUUGAGUACUGCAGGGGAGACUGGAAUUCCUGGUGUAGCGGUGAAAUGCGCAGAUAUCAGGAGGAACACCGGUGGCGAAGGCGGGUCUCUGGGCAGUAACUGACGCUGAGGAGCGAAAGCGUGGGUAGCGAACAGGAUUAGAUACCCUGGGUAGUCAA
This 360-nucleotide ribosomal RNA is filed under the name uncultured Rhodococcus sp. Its description in RNAcentral is "bacterial SSU rRNA". It matches the Rfam family "Bacterial small subunit ribosomal RNA", at positions 427 to 797 of the family's 1533-position model. Lineage: Bacteria; Bacillati; Actinomycetota; Actinomycetes; Mycobacteriales; Nocardiaceae. The record is from RNAcentral.